UUGUCAGCUCUUUGAGUCGGAACACACGGAAAUCCUACAGCAUGACUCUACUCUGUGUUCGAGCCUCGGAACCCGUGUGUAACCUGUGUUCUCAGAUUAUACCAGCCACUUGCCAGCUACUUUAAAUUACCAGAAGAGAAUCAGCCGAGAUUGAAGAUGCCACAUGGGGCCUUUUCUGACCCCAUGUCUGAAGUUUACCUCCUCCUCUACCAGACCACCAUACCAGCCUUCACCUCUCUGAAUCUCCCUCUACAGAGAGCACGUUCAUCUACAGCGAUCAGCCACAACGUUAAAACCACUGACAGGUGAAGUGAAUAACAUUAUCUCCUUACAAUGGGACCUGUCAAGAUCUGGGAUACAUUAGGCAGCGGGUGAACAGUCAGUUCUUGAAGAUGAUGUGUUGGAAGCAGGAAAAAUGUGCGAGCGAAAGGAUCCGAGCGACUUUGACGAGGCCCAAAUUGUGACGGUUGGACGACUGGGUCAGAACAACGCCAAACAGACAGGUCUUGAGGGGCGUUCCCGGGACGCAGUGGUUAGUACCUACCAAAAGUGGUCCAAGGAAGGACAAGCGGUGAGCCAGCAACAGGAUCAUGGGUGCCCAAGGCUCAUUGAUAUGCGGGGGGAGCGAAGGCUGGCCUGUGUGGUCCAGUCCCUCAGAAGAGCUACUGCAGCACAAAUUGCUGAAAACCUUAAUGCUGGCUGUGACGGAAAGCUGUCAGGACACACAGAGCAUCACAGCUCUGGUCGGAUAAACAAAUUGGACCGAGGAUACCAGAAUCCAUCAAGGAAUCAUAUUUCCCAUGUCGCCAUUCUAAAUAUGGACUACACAAGCAGGAAAACAGUGGAACCGGACCUGGGUCCAGUUGAACACUACACCUGUACCACGGAUCCUCGGUCCAGUUGAAUGACAAAGCCCCACAUCAGUGUCACCGUACAUUAUCUGACAGCUUACUUCCCCGGAGAAAACACCGGAUAAAAAACAUCACAUGUGGACCACGUGAGGCUUUGGCCACCUGGUAUUUGCGGGAGGAGCAGCUAGUUUGCAUCACAACCGACAACGGGUCAAACAUUGUGAUGAUCCACCGAACUCAACCACUGAGUCAGGCUUCGGUCUUUUGGCCGCAGGCUGCAUCUUGCCAUCGAAAGUGCUGUGAAAGGUGACAGCCGAUUUGUCCGUGCUGCUGCGCUUUGCAGAAAGUCGGUGGAGCACUGACUCAUCACAGAAUGCCCAAACAGGUGGGGGCAGAGGCAAAAGAUGAUGGAGAGGGUGUUGGAGCAGCGGCAAGCCGUGUCUGACGUCCUUUUGGGAGGCCAAAAAACACAGCAUCUAGUUCCCCCCUGGACCUGGAUGUACUCGAGUCUGUAAACAUGGCUUCACAACCUUUGCAAGACCUUACUGAUGCUCUUUCCAGGGAAGGUUAGGUGAGUGUUUCACAUGCGAAACCAGUCCUUCAUCUCCUGUAGACAUCUGUCCUGGCAGAAAAGGAAGAUGACACUAAUUUAACCAGGAGCCUCAAGGUGAAAACACUGGUUUACAUAAAUACAAAGUGUGAUGACCCAGCAACACAAGAACUAAUGAAACUGCAUCCUCCGUGGACCCCAGGUUAAAGGUCAGCUACAUCAGCUGCGAAAAAGUGGAACACCUCAAGACUCAGGUGUCAGAGAGGAAAGAAACAGCACAGAAGGAGGGAAGACCCACUGACCACACCGAGGCCCGAAGCAUGGAUCCACCCAGUGAAAGCGAUGAUCGGGCAGUUUACUCAAAUCAAACCCGGGCCCCGGCUCCACCGCGUCUUCCAUGCAGCUGGAGCAAACUGAACUUCGCAGCUACCCGCCGCCCCCCCACCCUUGACAGUGAGGCAGACCCUUUGGCCUGGUGGAAACACCACCAGGUUGCCUACCCAAAGCUGAGCGAACCAGCUCAGAGGUGUCUUUGUACACCUGCCACUAGUUCAGCACAUCAGGGAAUGUGGUAACAUGUCGACGUGCAGGAUUGAAACCUAGCAAAGUUAACAUGCUGUUUUCUUGGCCAAGAACUUGCCCUUGGGGAAUAACUAAGGUAGCAACUCACCCUGAGGGGUAGAUAUAGUUCUCCUGAUUUAGUGGCCUUACUCUAUUUCAGUUUUUCCACUCAUACUAUGAGACCUUGUUGUGUGGAGUCCAGGACCUCCCGUGACAUGUAAUGGGAUAACUGUAAUGACAUUGCAGUAAUUUUAAAUUGCCAUGUUUCAUUUAUAUUUAUUGAAUUAUUUAAGAUGUUUUCUCCCAGAUAUUUUUUUUUUAUUUCAAGAGAUGUUUCUGUUGAGAUUAGAAGAAAUUAUUUUAAAAGGAGCAAAUUUCCACUAGUUAUAAUGUCCUAUUUUAAUUAAUGCUCUCUUUAAUUGCUCGA
This is a long non-coding RNA of Xiphias gladius (swordfish), 2389 nucleotides long. RefSeq lists it as uncharacterized. NCBI's taxonomy places the organism in Eukaryota, Metazoa, Chordata, Actinopteri, Istiophoriformes, Xiphiidae. The transcript is spliced from 4 exons. The record is from RefSeq and is a predicted model, not a curated record.